CUCUCUCUUUGAACUCAACAACAACAAAAUUCUUCUUGCAAAGGAAUCCCUCAAUACGCUGCCGUUUUGACUAGGGUUCUUUCAUUUCUCCACGAUUACAUUCAACCAGUUCUCAUCUCAACAUUACGCAACUAAUCUCUCAGACGUACGUUUCUUCUUCACUUCAGAUUCAAACUGCCGUUAAAACAUGUGCCGGUGAGUACAAUUUUUUGUUAUUAUUAUUAGUAUUCUUUUUUAUGUCUUUAUUUUUAGCCUGUGCUGAGAUCUGUCUAUUAACGCCGUCGUUUUGAACUAAGUUAAAGAUCGUAAAACUCUGUUUAGUUCAUUUGAGAAAAAUCCAGUUAUUUUUAGUGAAUGAAUUUCAGAUUUUAUUUUUAGCGCACGUGUUUAUUUUGCCAGUUCCUAUAUGUAGUUAGAAAUUUGAACUAAUAUGAUUUGCGUUGUGAUUAUAUAUAAUGCACGUACAAGACGUGCUUAAUUUACGCGGUUUUAAGUGUAAAAAUGUGGUUCCUUUUUAGAGGUUGUUGGAUGAGGUAGCUUUGCUAGUCAGUCAAAAUUGGCUGACUAAUUUUGACUUUUCAUAUUGCCUGUGAGGUUUUUUUUUUUUUUUUUU
This 613-nucleotide long non-coding RNA is filed under the name Citrus sinensis (sweet orange). Its description in RNAcentral is "long non-coding RNA (CSIN_LNC005770)". Lineage: Eukaryota; Viridiplantae; Streptophyta; Magnoliopsida; Sapindales; Rutaceae. The record is from RNAcentral.